Small nuclear RNA from Ailuropoda melanoleuca (giant panda), 107 nucleotides. NCBI's taxonomy places the organism in Eukaryota, Metazoa, Chordata, Mammalia, Carnivora, Ursidae. The record is from Ensembl.
GUGCUCGCUUCAGCAGCACAUAUACCAAAAUCGGACCAAUACAGAGAGGACUAGCAUGGCCCCUGCACAAGGAUGACAUGAAAAUUCAUGAAGUGUUCCAUAUUUUU